CAUAUAAUGGCCACCUGCCUGGAGGUUCUUACACAUUUGUUUGUCACCUACACACCUUUAAUUUCAUUGAGGAAAUCAAAGGCCACCCUCAAUGUAAUAGAUGCAAUACUUCUUGCAAAGAUUUGAUUUAUCAAUGUGCCCAAUGUAAUUUCUAGAUGCACUAUUAUUGUUUAUAGAAAGAAAAAUGUUGUUUAAAUUUUUAUUCUAUACUAAACAAAGUAGAUAGAAUUUUUGGUGCAUGAAAUUUGUAAUUCUUAUUCUAUUUAAUUUAUUUUAUUUACUUUUGAACUUAAGCUUAGCUUAUUAGGAUUGUUGUUUCGUACCUCUCAAAUGGCCACAACAUUUAAUGUAUUGUCACAUUUACUAAAUUUAAUUUUUGGUCCUACAAGCAACUUACUAAAUUCUUCAUUGAACCUACCAAUCUGGAUGCUGGCACUAACCUUGAGAUGAGUUUUUUCUCUAUUUGUUUUAGUAUGUUUGGUUUCUUGAACGACAUUUAAGCUGGUUGUUGGUGAUUAUGUUUUUAAGUCCUUGGGACAUUGGCCAAUUCCCGAUGAUGUGGCCAUUUUGGGGCUAUGGAUGGUGUUUGGAGGUGUAUCCUACCUUUUUGAAAAACACCUUAGAAACCUUUUCUUAAAUUGCAUCAAUUACAAAAUAUACAAGUAGUUUAGGCUCAUAAGUUUAAAAUGUAGCAUUGUUUUUGGUAAAUUUGAUUUUUAUUUUGUGGCAACCAUAAUUAAUAGUUAUUCCUAAAUAAUUUUUUUUUGAAGUUAUAUAGAAUUUUCCUAGAAGUAAUUGUUAGUAAAACUUUAAGCUGGACUUUUCUUCUAAAAGAUGUCUACUAUUUUGCUUAAAUAAUUCAUGAUAUGCCAAAAAUGUUAACUUUGCUAGAUUCCAAGUGUGAAGAAAUCGUAUUAGAUGGAGGGGAAAGUUGUGGCCUUCAAAAUAGUUUGUCAGGGCAACUAUGCAAUCUUAGAGAAUAUAAGAAUUCACAAAAGUAGGUAGCCAAACCUAGAAAGGAUGGUCUUCCUCUGAAUUUAUAAUCAAUUAAGUCAAUUUAUUUUUGUUUACUUCCCUUAUGUGCUAUUAAUUUUCUUUUGGCAAUGGACCCACUGGAGCAUUGGAGGAGUGAUGUCACCAUCCAGUUUUUACGACAAGCAUAUGUGGAGGCAACUGAUUUCUUUAACCUGAAAGGGUGAAAAAGUUGUGAACAAUUCUAUAAUGAUGGUCUUUCAUCCUCUAGUGGGGUUCAUUAACAAUAUUUUAAUAUAUUGGGUGGAAAUUUAGAGAAGCAUUUCAACAUCUUAUUCUCAGGUGAAACUCUCUCUCUCUCUGUGGGUUCUUCACAGGGUUUGGUGGACAAGAUGAAUUCAUGUUUGAAAAUGAAGAGGAAAGCAAAAGGGAAGGCACCAUUUAUGAAGAAUGGAAGACUAUUAUUAGAGGGGCCAAUUGCCUUUUGCAAUGGGAAAAGCAAUCCUAUCCAUGUCUUCUCUGCCGAGGAGCUCAGAAGAGAAACAAACUACCAUGACCCUUGCUUAGUUUUGAAUUUUACAAGGGCUCUCUAGAAGGCUGCUUAAUUUCAGUUAAAAAGUACAAAGGAGAAUUUCUUUGGGAUUUUGAAGUUGAAGACACUAUUAAAGACUUUGUGGUUGGAACACAAAUGAGUGUCCACAAAAAUGUUCUAAAACUCUUAGCAUCUGCUUAGAGACCAAUAUUCCAAUUCUAGUAUAUGAAUUUGUAGGGGACAGAAUUCUCUCCACGUGUAUCCAUCCAAUUGAGGGAGUCAUCUCAGAUCCAUUACCAUGUAAAUGCAAGUUAAGCAUUGCAAUGGGCAUAGCUAAUGCAGUUACAUAUCUCCUUUAAUUCAUUUUUUAGGCCUGUUAUCCAUAGAAAUAUUAAGCCAUCCAUAUUGGAUGAGAACAAUGUUGCAGAGCUGACAGAUUUCUCACUCUCUAUAUCUAUUCCUAAAGAUCAAUUGCAAGUAAAGUGACAGUAGUUUUGGAAAC
Long non-coding RNA from Quercus robur (English oak), 2006 nucleotides. RefSeq lists it as uncharacterized. The record is from RefSeq and is a predicted model, not a curated record. Lineage: Eukaryota; Viridiplantae; Streptophyta; Magnoliopsida; Fagales; Fagaceae. The transcript has 5 exons.